AGAGUUUGAUCCUGGCUCAGGAUGAACGCUGGCGGCGUGCCUAAUACAUGCAAGUCGAACGGUACUCUUUCGGGAGUACAGUGGCGAACGGGUGAGUAAUACAUAAGGAACCUGCCCUCGGGACCGGGAUAGCUGAUGGAAACGUCAGGUAAUAGCGGAUGUGAGUCAUUAUGGCAUCAUGAUGACUUGAAAGGAUGCAGCAAUGCAUCGCGCGGGGAUGGCCUUAUGGCGCAUUAGCCAGUUGGCGGGGUAACGGCCCACCAAAGCGAUGAUGCGUAGCCGAUCUGAGAGGACGACCGGCCACAUUGGGACUGAGACACGGCCCAGACUCCUACGGGAGGCAGCAGUAGGGAAUUUUCGGCAAUGGGCGCAAGCCUGACCGAGCAACGCCGCGUGAGUGUUAAGGCCUUCGGGUUGUAAAGCUCUGUUGCCGGGGACGAACGGUACUUAUAGGAAAUGAUAAGUAAGUGACGGUACCCGGCGAGAAAGCCACGGCUAACUACGUGCCAGCAGCCGCGGUAAUACGUAGGUGGCGAGCGUUAUCCGGAUUUAUUGGGCGUAAAGGGUGCGUAGGCGGCGAAUUAAGUCUAAAUUGAAAGCGUGGGGCUCAACUCCAUGAUGGUUUAGAAACUGGUUUGCUGGAGUGCAGGAGAGGUUAGCGGAAUUCCAUGUGUAGCGGUAAAAUGCGUAGAUAUAUGGAGGAACACCAGUGGCGAAGGCGGCUAACUGGCCUGUAACUGACGCUGAGGCACGAAAGCGUGGGGAGCGAAUAGGAUUAGAUACCCUAGUAGUCCACGCUGUAAACGAUGGAUACUAAGUGUUGGGGUGACCCAGUGCUGUAGUUAACGCAGUAAGUAUCCCGCCUGGGGAGUAUGCACGCAAGUGUGAAACUCAAAGGAGUUGACGGGGACCCGCACAAGCGGUGGAUUAUGUGGUUCAAUUCGACGCAACGCGAAGAACCUUACCAAGCCUUGACAUGUAAGAUAAAGGCUCUAGAGAUAGAGAGAUAGUUAUAUUUUACACAGGUGGUGCAUGGUUGUCGUCAGCUCGUGUCGUGAGAUGUUGGGUUAAGUCCCGCAACGAGCGCAACCCUUGUUGAUAGUUGCUAACAGGUUAUGCUGAGAACUCUAUCAAGACUGCUGUUGAUAAAACGGAGGAAGGUGGGGACGAUGUCAAGUCAUCAUGGCCUUUAUGCUUAGGGCUACACACGUGCUACAAUGGUCGGUACAAAACGUCGCAAUCCCGUAAGGGGGAGCUAAUCGCAAAAACCGAUCUCAGUUCGGAUUGAAGUCUGCAACUCGACUUCAUGAAGUUGGAAUCGCUAGUAAUCGCGGAUCAGAACGCCGCGGUGAAUACGUUCCCGGGUCUUGUACACACCGCCCGUCACAUCACGAAAGUAGGUUGUACUAGAAGUAGGAGGGCUAACUCGCAAGAGAGGCAUCUUACCACGGUAUGAUUUAUGAUUGGGGUGAAGUCGUAACAAGGUAACCA
Molecule: ribosomal RNA, 1491 nt
Filed under: uncultured bacterium
Lineage: Bacteria
Description: bacterial SSU rRNA
Rfam family: Bacterial small subunit ribosomal RNA
Source: RNAcentral